RNAcentral lists this non-coding RNA (330 nucleotides) under Ipomoea nil (Japanese morning glory). RNAcentral's name for it is "Eukaryotic small subunit ribosomal RNA". It matches the Rfam family "Eukaryotic small subunit ribosomal RNA", at positions 1 to 1412 of the family's 1831-position model. Lineage: Eukaryota; Viridiplantae; Streptophyta; Magnoliopsida; Solanales; Convolvulaceae. The record is from Rfam by way of RNAcentral.
UACCUGGUUGAUCCUGCCAGUAGUCAUAUGCUUCAAAGUCUUUUAAGCCGGGGGAGUAUAAGUCGCAAGGCUGAAAGACUGUGAAAUUGACGAAAGGGCACCAAAGGAGUGGAUAGCCUGCGGCUUGGUACCUACAACACGGGGAAACUUACAGGUCUAGAGCUAGUAAGGAUGACAACUGAAGCUCUUUCGAGAUUCAUUGGGUAGUGGUGCAGGCCGCGGUCUUAGUUGGUAGCGAUUUUUGGUUGUUCCGUUAACGGAACGAGCCCAGUUGACUUAUGGGAGGCCCCUCCGCCCACUUUCUUGAGGGACUACGGCCUUCUGCCGCGA